AUUGAACGCUAGCGGCAUGCUUAACACAUGCAAGUCGAACGGCAGCACGAGGAGCUUGCUCCUUGGUGGCGAGUGGCGGACGGGUGAGUAACGCGUAGGAAUCUGCCUUAUAGAGGGGGAUAACCCGGGGAAACUCGGGCUAAUACCGCAUAAUCUCUACGGAGCAAAGUGGGGGAUCUUUGGACCUCACGCUAUUAGAUGAGCCUGCGUCGGAUUAGUUUGUUGGUUGGGGAAUGGCCUACCAAGACUACGAUCCGUAGCUGGUCUGAGAGGAC
Molecule: ribosomal RNA, 275 nt
Filed under: uncultured bacterium
Lineage: Bacteria
Description: partial 16S ribosomal RNA
Rfam family: Bacterial small subunit ribosomal RNA
Source: RNAcentral